Pipistrellus kuhlii (Kuhl's pipistrelle) is the source of this 158-nucleotide long non-coding RNA. RefSeq lists it as uncharacterized. The transcript has 3 exons. The record is from RefSeq and is a predicted model, not a curated record. Lineage: Eukaryota; Metazoa; Chordata; Mammalia; Chiroptera; Vespertilionidae.
AAAGUUUAACUUUGCAGCCCUAAUUGGUUUGUCCCAAUGGAUAGAGUGUCGGCCUAUGGACUGAAGGGUCCCAAGUUUAAUUCCGGUCAGGGCAUGUACCUUGGUUGUGGACACAUCCCCAGUAGGGGUUAUGCCAGAGGCAGCUGAUUGAUGUUUCU